Molecule: transfer RNA, 78 nt
Filed under: Acidobacteriota bacterium
Lineage: Bacteria; Pseudomonadati; Acidobacteriota
Description: tRNA-Leu
Rfam family: tRNA
About the family: Transfer RNA (tRNA) molecules are approximately 80 nucleotides in length. Their secondary structure includes four short double-helical elements and three loops (D, anti-codon, and T loops). Further hydrogen bonds mediate the characteristic L-shaped molecular structure. tRNAs have two regions of fundamental functional importance: the anti-codon, which is responsible for specific mRNA codon recognition, and the 3' end, to which the tRNAs corresponding amino acid is attached (by aminoacyl-tRNA synthetases). tRNAs cope with the degeneracy of the genetic code in two manners: having more than one tRNA (with a specific anti-codon) for a particular amino acid; and 'wobble' base-pairing, i.e. permitting non-standard base-pairing at the 3rd anti-codon position.
Source: RNAcentral
GCUCGCGUAGUCCAACUGGCAGGAGACGGCAGUUUCAAAAACUGCACAGUGCAGGUUCAAAUCCCGCCGCGAGCACCA